UGGGGAAUUUUGGACAAUGGGCGCAAGCCUGAUCCAGCAAUGCCGCGUGCAGGAUGAAGGCCUUCGGGUUGUAAACUGCUUUUGUACGGAGCGAAAAGGUCUGCCCUAAUACGGUGGGCUCAUGACGGUACCGUAAGAAUAAGCACCGGCUAACUACGUGCCAGCAGCCGCGGUAAUACGUAGGGUGCGAGCGUUAAUCGGAAUUACUGGGCGUAAGGCGUGCGCAGGCGGUUAUAUAAGACAGAUGUGAAAUCCCCGGGCUCAACCUGGGACCUGCAUUUGUGACUGUAUAGCUAGAGUACGGUAGAGGGGGAUGGAAUUCCACGUGUAGCAGUGAAAUGCGUAGAUAUGCGGAGGAACACCGAUGGCGAAGGCAAUCCCCUGGACCUGUACUGACGCUCAUGCACGAAAGCGUGGGGAGCAAACA
This 427-nucleotide ribosomal RNA is filed under the name uncultured bacterium. RNAcentral's name for it is "bacterial SSU rRNA". It matches the Rfam family "Bacterial small subunit ribosomal RNA", at positions 355 to 774 of the family's 1533-position model. The record is from RNAcentral.